Molecule: ribosomal RNA, 497 nt
Filed under: uncultured bacterium
Lineage: Bacteria
Description: bacterial SSU rRNA
Rfam family: Bacterial small subunit ribosomal RNA
Source: RNAcentral
GAUGAACGCUAGCGGCAGGCUUAACACAUGCAAGUCGAGGGGUAUUGGUUUUCGGACCAAGAGACCGGCGCACGGGUGCGUAACGCGUAUGCAAUCUACCUUUUGCAGAGGGAUAGCCCAGAGAAAUUUGGAUUAAUACCUCAUAGUAUAGUACUUUGGCAUCAAGGAACUAUUAAAGUCACAACGGCAAAAGAUGAGCAUGCGUCCCAUUAGCUAGUUGGUAAGGUAACGGCUUACCAAGGCUACGAUGGGUAGGGGUCCUGAGAGGGAGAUCCCCCCACACUGGUACUGAGACACGGACCAGACUCCUACGGGAGGCAGCAGUGAGGAAUAUUGGACAAUGGGGCGCAAGCCUGAUCCAGCCAUGCCGCGUGCAGGAUGACGGUCCUAUGGAUUGUAAACUGCUUUUAUACAGGAAGAAACACUCCGACGUGUCGGAGCUUGACGGUACUGUAAGAAUAAGGAUCGGCUAACUCCGUAGCCAGCAGCCGCGGUAA